This 253-nucleotide ribosomal RNA is filed under the name uncultured bacterium. RNAcentral describes it as "partial 16S ribosomal RNA". It matches the Rfam family "Bacterial small subunit ribosomal RNA", at positions 524 to 776 of the family's 1533-position model. The record is from RNAcentral.
AACGUAGGAGGCAAGCGUUAUUCGGAUUUACUGGGCGUAAAGCGCGUGCAGGCGGUUUGGUAAGUUGGAUGUGAAAGCUCCUGGCUCAACUGGGAGAGGUCGUUCAAUACUACCAGACUAGAGGGCGGUAGAGGAAGGCGGAAUUCCGGGUGUAGUGGUGAAAUGCGUAGAUAUCCGGAGGAACACCAGUGGCGAAAGCGGCCUUCUGGACCGAUCCUGACGCUCAUACGCGAAAGCUAGGGUAGCAAACGGG